GAGGGACCACCACCCCGGUCUGCCAUCCCAGAGGCACUGUCCCCGACCGCCACGCGAUGUUGCACAGGCGUGUCAACCAAGACAGCCCCACAACAUCCAGAGACUUGAGGUACUCAGGGCGGAUCUCAUCCACCCCCGGUGCCUUGCCACUGAGGAGUUUCUUAACCACCUCGGUGACUUCAGCCCGGGUGAUGGACGAGUCCACCUCUGAGCCUUCAUCCUCUGCUUCCUCAAUGGAAGACGUGACGGCGGGAUUGAGGAGAUCCUCGAAGUACUCCUUCCACCGCCCGACGACAUCCCCAGUUGAGGUCAACAACUGCCCACCUCUACUGUAAACAGCGUUGGUAGGGCACUGUUUCCCUCUCCUGAGGCGCCG
Long non-coding RNA from Esox lucius (northern pike), 376 nucleotides. The record is from Ensembl. Lineage: Eukaryota; Metazoa; Chordata; Actinopteri; Esociformes; Esocidae.